GACGAACGCUGGCGGCGUGCUUAACACAUGCAAGUCGAACGAAGAGCGAUGGAAGCUUGCUUCUAUCAAUCUUAGUGGCGAACGGGUGAGUAACGCGUAAUCAACCUGCCCUUCAGAGGGGGACAACAGUUGGAAACGACUGCUAAUACCGCAUACGAUCUAAUCUCGGCAUCGAGGAUAGAUGAAAGGUGGCCUCUACAUGUAAGCUAUCACUGAAGGAGGGGAUUGCGUCUGAUUAGCUAGUUGGAGGGGUAACGGCCCACCAAGGCGAUGAUCAGUAGCCGGUCUGAGAGGAUGAACGGCCAAAUUGGGACUGAGACACGGCCCAGACUCCUACGGGAGGCAGCAGUGGGGAAUCUUCCGCAAUGGACGAAAGUCUGACGGAGCAACGCCGCGUGAGUGAUGACGGCCUUCGGGUUGUAAAGCUCUGUUAAUCGGGACGAAAGGCCUUCUUGCGAAUAGUGAGAAGGAUUGACGGUACCGGAAGAGAAAGCCACGGCUAACUACGUG
Molecule: ribosomal RNA, 510 nt
Filed under: uncultured bacterium
Lineage: Bacteria
Description: partial 16S ribosomal RNA
Rfam family: Bacterial small subunit ribosomal RNA
Source: RNAcentral